Non-coding RNA from Triticum aestivum (bread wheat), 197 nucleotides. The record is from Rfam. NCBI's taxonomy places the organism in Eukaryota, Viridiplantae, Streptophyta, Magnoliopsida, Poales, Poaceae.
AGGCCUUUCUCGGCCUUUUGGCUAAGAUCAAGUGUAGUAUCUAUUCUUAUCAGUUUAAUAUCUGAUAUGUGAACCAUGUGUCCAUAAUGAUAUUAAAUUUAUUUUUUUAUGGGGAAGGAUCCACCAUAAUGGCUUGCCAUUGGGACCCUUAUGUGUUGCCUGGCCGUUGCACUACAGCUCAACCUGGCAGUUGGGUC